AGCAAAGGAAUUUAGUUUGACCGCCCGAAACUAAGCGAGCUACUUCAAAACAGCCUUAUAGGGCCAACCCGUCUCUGUUGCAAAAGAGUGGGAAGAUUUUCAAGUAGAGGUGAUAAACCUACCGAGCUUAGAGAUAGCUGGUUAUUCAAGAAAAGGAUCUAAGUCCUACCUUAAAUCAAUACAGUAACAAUAAAUACAUUAACAGAUUUAAGAGCUAUUCAAAUAAGGUACAGCCUAUUUGAAACAGGAUACAACCUAAACAACAGGGUAAUGAAAUCAAAUACGUAACUAAGUGGGCCUAAGAGCAGCCAUCUUUUAAAAAGCGUUAAAGCUUAAUUACUUAUUUAUAUUAAUUCCACUAACCAAUCAAAACCCUUAUCCAGUAUUGAAUGAUUCCAUAACCAUAUGGAAAACCGUAUGCUAGAACUAGUAAUAAGAAGAAGACCUUCUCCAAAAUACAAGUGUGAGCCGAAAUGAACAACUCAUCGGCACUUAACGUAAAUGAACCCAAAGUAGUAACAAAACAAGAAAAUUCUACUACACAAUACGUCAACCUUACACUAGAGUAUUACUGGAAAGAUUAAAAGAAAGGGAAGGAACUCGGCAAAUCAUCAACCCCGCCUGUUUACCAAAAACAUCGCCUCUUGACAAAAUAUAAGAGGUCCAGCCUGCCCAGUGACAAAGUUAAACGGCCGCGGUACCCUAACCGUGCGAAGGUAGCGCAAUCACUUGUUCUUUAAAUGAGGACUAGUAUGAAUGGCAUCACGAGGGUUGCACUGUCUCCCCUUUUUAAUCAAUGAAACUGACCCCCCCCGUGAAGAGGCGGGGAUAUAACUAUAAGACGAGAAGACCCCAUGGAGCUUUAAACUCAGUAUCAACCGCCUAACAACACAUCAUUACAAUUUGGCAGAUCUGAUUACUAGUUUUCGGUUGGGGUGACCGCGGAGUAAAACAAAACCUCCACGAUGAAAGGACCUAUACUCCUAAUCAUAGAGCCACAGCUCAAAGAAUCAAAAAACUGACAUAAAUUGAUCCAAUUAAUUUGAUCAACGAACCAAGUUACCCUGGGGAUAACAGCGCAAUCCACUUCAAGAGCCCCUAUCGACAAGUGGGUUUACGACCUCGAUGUUGGAUCAGGGUAUCCCAGUGGUGCAGCCGCUACUCAAGUCCUC
RNAcentral lists this ribosomal RNA (1172 nucleotides) under Kaloula pulchra (Malaysian narrowmouth toad). RNAcentral's name for it is "partial 16S ribosomal RNA". It matches the Rfam family "Bacterial large subunit ribosomal RNA", at positions 691 to 2575 of the family's 2925-position model. The record is from RNAcentral. Lineage: Eukaryota; Metazoa; Chordata; Amphibia; Anura; Microhylidae.